CGUAAUGUCUUGUCAUGUCCCCUCAAGACUAGUCGAGAAGAGAUCGCGUGUCUAUGUAAGCGAGGGCGUUAUACGGUGUCGCCAUAUAGCGACCAAUCCGAGAAUUAUUUCUUUUGCAUGCAUGCGUGUGCAUUUAUUAUGACUAACAAUAGUAGGGUUAUAACAGAACAUUUAAAAGGCGUUAUAACUGCAAAUCUCUUCAGUCAACCAUAAAGAUUCAAUGGAGUGAUUCAUUUCAAUUUAUUUUCCAAACAACUAUUCCGCUUAGUUUAUAAAACCAAAUAGUAGUAUUAUCGACCAGAACCUGGACAUUUUAAAUAUGUAGAUUACAAAUCAGCAGAAGAAGAAUUGCUGCAGGAAUCUAUUGAAUUUUAAUUUAACAGUGAAAUAUACCAUCGCUUCUACUUCACGCAGUUAUUUUCUUCGAUGGGGCAUCAGAAAGACAGAUUUUUAGCAAAAAACUGCUAACAUUUAAGAACUUUUUGUUUUAUAAUAAUUAUAUUAUCAAUAGUAAUACCUUGGGUUAUUACAUUGAUAUUUUAAAACAUAUUUCGAAAGCUUGUUGCUUGAAAUCAGGCCUACGCUUAUAAGCAAAAAGUUUGAGAAAGUUGUUAUAACAUUUUUAAAGAUUUAUUAAUGUUUGCGGAUUAUUCAGGUAGAAAUUUUUGCUAAUUAUAGAAAAAAUACACAGAAAAAAACAAUUUGUUUCAAGGUGCAAUUAACAAAACAACUAUUAGAAAAGUUAAGUGAAGAUCCAGACAUGUUUCUAUAACUGAUAAAGAUUUAUUUCCAAUACAUCUUCAUCGGAAUACAUUGUUGUGACCCGUGAAAACUCUUGCUCUACUCUAUCACUUUUGACCAAUUGACUAACAGCAGUUGAUCUAUUGGAGAGAUUUUUCCCUUGGUAUUCAAGCUAAUCGUUUUGGCAGACGUUUUUAAAAUUAAAAAAAUUGAUACUAACCGAUGAUCUUACUAGUUAUUUUUAAGUUUCAAUUCUCUUCAUUUUUUAGUUAUUUUCGUAAAUUCAAAAUCAUGUUUAUUUUGUUUUUUUAUCACUUCUGUCAGUUUUUUCUUAUAUGACAUGUUUUUUGCAUUUUUUAUAUAUACGUUGUACGUUUAAGGAAUUUUAUGCAUCAUUUCUAUAAAAAUAUUUUAUUGAAACUCUUUUUAUUAUUUCUUCAAUUUUAUGUUUUCGUGUUCUGAAUAAACUGAGUGAAUAAAAACCAUUAUAUGCGAGUCCACGAUUGUCAUUUUUAAUUUAUAUAACAAAAACAGUCUUCGAUGUUUCAAAUAAAUUAUUGGGAUCUUAAAGAAAGUUUCUUUAUGAUUGUAAAUAAUGCAGCAAAAUUUAACAAUUGAAUUUUCUUCGAGUAUAUAGAGGGGAGCAAAAAAUUAAUAUUUGAAAAUUUUUUUAUAAUAUAUAUAUGAUUUAAGUGAAAAAGCUAAAGUAAAUCGAACUUUUACGACAAGGAAUCAAAAGAUUCAUAGUAAAUAUCAUUUAUGCUGUUGACAAUAGGGCUGGAGUGCAGAAAAACGAUUAGCUUCAUAUUUUUACCAAAUACUCGUAUCACACACUAGAUGAUUACACGAAAAAAGAAUUUUUGUUGUCUCACAAGAAAAGAAGAUAAGAAAAUUUUUUUCCUAACCUAACUUAACCACGUAUAUUCAGCUAGUGAUAUUUUGUGUCUAUAUUUCGAAUUUUUAUGACACAAAAAAGCAUAGAAAGACUAUGACUGUGAUGGAUGAAGAAGUUUGCCAAGUUUUUUUGCGCUAUAAAAAUACUAAAUAUAGGCACAAAAUAUCACUAGCUGAUUAUACGUGGUUAAGUUAGGUUAGGAAAAAAAUUUUCUCAUUUUCUUUCCUUGCGAGACGCCAAAAAAUCUUUUAGGUACAAUCAUCUCGUGUGUGAUAGAGUAUUUGGUAAAAAUUAGAAACCAAUCGGUAGGUUCCUUUUUUCGGAACUCCAGCCGAUAGAAGUUCAAACAAUUUUUAAACAAUUGCCUAUUCCAAAGAAAUAUUUAGACAUAUUUAAAAUCUGUCAGUAUCAAUAGAAGCUCUAAUAUGAGUACUGAGCUAUAAAAGGAAAGGCGUAAAAAACUUUCUAACAUUAGACAAAAAAAAAUAUAUUUGUAAGCUAGAAUAAUUUUCAGAAUACAUCAAUUUCAUUACAUUUAUAAGUAUUGAAUUUCAAAUUGUACUUCUAAAUUUGAAACUGAAUCAAGUUUUUGAUAUGAAAUAUAUUUUUACAAAAA
This is a long non-coding RNA of Diorhabda carinulata, 2252 nucleotides long. RefSeq lists it as uncharacterized. The transcript is spliced from 2 exons. NCBI's taxonomy places the organism in Eukaryota, Metazoa, Arthropoda, Insecta, Coleoptera, Chrysomelidae. The record is from RefSeq and is a predicted model, not a curated record.